GACGAACGCUGGCGGCGUGCUUAACACAUGCAAGUCGAACGGAAAGGCCCUGCUUGCAGGGUACUCGAGUGGCGAACGGGUGAGUAACACGUGGGUGAUCUGCCCUGCACUUCGGGAUAAGCCUGGGAAACUGGGUCUAAUACCGGAUAGGAGCCAUUUUUAGUGUGAUGGUUGGAAAGUUUUUUCGGUGUAGGAUGAGCUCGCGGCCUAUCAGCUUGUUGGUGGGGUAAUGGCCUACCAAGGCGGCGACGGGUAGCCGGCCUGAGAGGGUGGACGGCCACAUUGGGUCUGAGAGACGGCCCAGACUCCUACGGGAGGCAGCAGUGGGGAAUAUUGCACAAUGGGCGCAAGCCUGAUGCAGCGACGCCGCGUGUGGUAUGACGGCCUUCGGGUUGUAAACUCCUUUCGCUAGGGACGAAGCUUUUUGUGACGGUACCUAGAUAAGAAGCACCGGCUAACUACGUG
RNAcentral lists this ribosomal RNA (465 nucleotides) under uncultured bacterium. RNAcentral describes it as "partial 16S ribosomal RNA". It matches the Rfam family "Bacterial small subunit ribosomal RNA", at positions 28 to 507 of the family's 1533-position model. The record is from RNAcentral.